GUGAAUCCUUGUCUGUUGCUUCGAGUGGUUCGGUCGGUAUCAGAGCGCGCCAUGUCUACACUUUGCGCCUGACAGUCAGUGGACCAGCAGGGCAGGUGGAAGGAAGUCGAUCCUUGCAAGACCAAGAUUCCUCCUACAUGCCAUGAUUAUAGUGUGCCUGACCAAUGGAAGAAGACAAGAGCUGCUGUCAAGAAGUUGCAUCUGUCCUACUCAGACCCAUCACGGAAGGUCUGCUAAUAAACGGGGUCCGAUAUUAUUAUACACUUCAUGGAUGCUAACAUACCUUCUUCAUAUGGCCUGCAAACUGACAAUGGAAAUGACGAGAAUAACCUGCAGAACUCCGCAAGAUUAGGUCCUGUGAUCAUCAAGAGCUGCUCGUCUCAAGACGACGCGUACAGUCCAAGCUUCACACCAGCACACCUCGUUAAGAAAUACUUAUCACAGCCAUCAAUCAUUUGCAGUUGUUCAUUUGCAUUAUUGUCAGUUUCCACGAGGUAUCUGCAAGAAGCGUGUUAAGCCUGAAGAAAAUAUAGAUCAGUCUUCUGGAGUUGUACAUGUGUAUAUUAAAUAUAAAACAUUUAAUAUAUCUAGAAAUUAUACAUGAAGCUACUAAAAAUGUAAUAUUUAACUAUAGAAGUAUUAAUGUAAUAAUAUUUAACUACAGAAGUAUUAGUGAGUUUAUUAAAAGGAAACCUUAAAAACAUGUAGCAUAUUCACGAUUCACGAUUUAACCAACCAUAAUAAAAUACUCAUGCAC
Scylla paramamosain (green mud crab) is the source of this 757-nucleotide long non-coding RNA. RefSeq lists it as uncharacterized. The record is from RefSeq and is a predicted model, not a curated record. Lineage: Eukaryota; Metazoa; Arthropoda; Malacostraca; Decapoda; Portunidae. The transcript has 2 exons.